UUCCGGUUGAUCCUGCCGGACCUGACUGCUAUCGGAUUGAUACUAAGCCAUGCGAGUCUUUGCAGUAAUGCAAGGCAUACGGCUCAGUAACACGUAGUCAACUUACCCUAUGGACGAGGAUAAUCUCGGGAAACUGAGCAUAAUACUCGAUAGAUCAUAAUGCCUGGAAUGGUUUAUGGUUGAAAUGAUUCGUCGCCAUAGGAUGGGACUGCGGCCUAUCAGCUUGUUGGUGAGGUAAUGGCCCACCAAGGCGAUUACAGGUACGGGCUCUGAGAGGAGAAGCCCGGAGAUGGGUACUGAGACAAGGACCCAGGCCCUAUGGGGCGCAGCAGGCGAGAAAACUUUGCAAUGUGCGAAAGCACGACAAGGUUAAUCCGAGUGAUUUCUGCUAAAGAAAUCUUUUGCAAGUCAUAAAACCACUAGUGAAUAAGGGGUGGGCAAGUUCUGGUGUCAGCCGCCGCGGUAAAACCAGCACCUCAAGUGGUCAGGAGGAUUAUUGGGCCUAAAGCAUCCGUAGCCGGCUCUGUAAGUUUUCGGUUAAAUUCAUGUGCUCAACGCAUGAGCCGCCGAAAAUACUACAUAGCUAGGGAGUGGGAGAGGUAGACGGUACUCAGUAGGAAGGGGUAAAAUCCUUUGAUCUAUUGAUGACCACCUGUGGCGAAGGCGGUCUACC
RNAcentral lists this ribosomal RNA (673 nucleotides) under uncultured marine group I thaumarchaeote. Its description in RNAcentral is "bacterial SSU rRNA". It matches the Rfam family "Archaeal small subunit ribosomal RNA", at positions 1 to 681 of the family's 1478-position model. Lineage: Archaea; Thermoproteati; Nitrososphaerota. The record is from RNAcentral.